RNAcentral lists this long non-coding RNA (284 nucleotides) under Lathyrus oleraceus (garden pea). Its description in RNAcentral is "Pisum sativum (pea) long non-coding RNA (PSAT_LNC037223)". Lineage: Eukaryota; Viridiplantae; Streptophyta; Magnoliopsida; Fabales; Fabaceae. The record is from RNAcentral.
AUUGAAUACACAUAUUUUUAGAUUUUUUUUUUAAUCUUUUAAAUAAUAAUCAACUUUCCUUUUUAAUCUUUUAACUAGUGACCUUAGACACUCAUUAGCAUUUUCCUAAAUACUAAUAAUAAUAAUAAUUUUUUAUUAUGACUUCUACAUUUUCUUUCUUUUUGGUGGUAAGAUUAUGAUUGUUACUGUUAUAAAUUAUAUUGUAGUAAUUUGGCCUUAUAAUAAAGUAUAACUUUAUACACAAUAAAUUUUAAUAAAAAAUUAAAUAUUAUUUAAUGCUUUUA